AUUGAACGCUGGCGGCAGGCCUAACACAUGCAAGUCGAGCGGAUGAAGGGAGCUUGCUCCUGGAUUCAGCGGCGGACGGGUGAGUAAUGCCUAGGAAUCUGCCUGGUAGUUGGGGAUAACGUCCGGAAACGGGCGCUAAUACCGCAUACGUCCUGAUGUAGAAAGUGGGGGAUCUUCGGACCUCACGCUAUCAGAUGAGCCUAGGUCGGAUUAGCUAGUUGGUGGGGUAAAUGCCUACCAAGGCGACGAUCCGUAACUGGUCUGAGAGGAUGAUCAGUCACAGUGGAACUGAGACACGGUACAGACUCCUACGGGAGGCAGCAGUGGGGAAUAUUGGACAAUGGGCGAAAGCCUGAUACAGCCAUGCCGCGUGUGAAGAAGGUCUUCGGAUUGUAAAGCACUGUAAAUUGGGAGGAAGGGAAGUAAGUUAAUACCUUGCUGUUUUGACGUUACCAACAGAAUAAGCAACGGCUAACUUCGUG
Molecule: ribosomal RNA, 482 nt
Filed under: uncultured bacterium
Lineage: Bacteria
Description: partial 16S ribosomal RNA
Rfam family: Bacterial small subunit ribosomal RNA
Source: RNAcentral